Long non-coding RNA from Rattus norvegicus (Norway rat), 412 nucleotides. RefSeq lists it as uncharacterized. The record is from RefSeq and is a predicted model, not a curated record. Lineage: Eukaryota; Metazoa; Chordata; Mammalia; Rodentia; Muridae.
GGGGAGAGGAGGCAGCCUCACAGGAAGUUCAGAGAUACAGGAAACCUGGAGGCCAGAAAGACCCCGUGGUCAGACCUUCUGCCCAGACACUGGGCUGUCACAUGGAGACUGAAGCCCAGGGAAAAGCUAUGACUAAAGGUGGAAACAGGCCCCAGACACAGCGGAUAGCCAAGGUCCAGGUGUGCCAGCUUCUGGAAGGAUCGGAGAUUGGAGGCCAGCUACACUGUGAGACUUCUUUGCUACAACCCCAUAGGCGUAUCACCAGUGAACGGGCGGUAAAUCACGCAUGUUGUAUAAGUACAAGGGGAUAUUAUUCAACCUUCGAAAGAAUGACCUCUGGCCUACCUUAUCACAGGGAUGGGUGCUUUCUUUUCAUGAAAAUGUUUUUAAAAUUUCAAAUGUUUAGUUAUUA